This 527-nucleotide ribosomal RNA is filed under the name Pseudomonas trivialis. RNAcentral's name for it is "bacterial SSU rRNA". It matches the Rfam family "Bacterial small subunit ribosomal RNA", at positions 221 to 740 of the family's 1533-position model. Lineage: Bacteria; Pseudomonadati; Pseudomonadota; Gammaproteobacteria; Pseudomonadales; Pseudomonadaceae. The record is from RNAcentral.
UCAGAUGAGCCUAGGUCGGAUUAGCUAGUUGGUGAGGUAAUGGCUCACCAAGGCGACGAUCCGUAACUGGUCUGAGAGGAUGAUCAGUCACACUGGAACUGAGACACGGUCCAGACUCCUACGGGAGGCAGCAGUGGGGAAUAUUGGACAAUGGGCGAAAGCCUGAUCCAGCCAUGCCGCGUGUGUGAAGAAGGUCUUCGGAUUGUAAAGCACUUUAAGUUGGGAGGAAGGGCAGUAAAUUAAUACUUUGCUGUUUUGACGUUACCGACAGAAUAAGCACCGGCUAACUCUGUGCCAGCAGCCGCGGUAAUACAGAGGGUGCAAGCGUUAAUCGGAAUUACUGGGCGUAAAGCGCGCGUAGGUGGUUUGUUAAGUUGGAUGUGAAAUCCCCGGGCUCAACCUGGGAACUGCAUUCAAAACUGACUGACUAGAGUAUGGUAGAGGGUGGUGGAAUUUCCUGUGUAGCGGUGAAAUGCGUAGAUAUAGGAAGGAACACCAGUGGCGAAGGCGACCACCUGGACUAAUAC